RNAcentral lists this long non-coding RNA (233 nucleotides) under Hordeum vulgare. RNAcentral's name for it is "long non-coding RNA (HVUL_LNC003218)". Lineage: Eukaryota; Viridiplantae; Streptophyta; Magnoliopsida; Poales; Poaceae. The record is from RNAcentral.
UUCUAUUUCCGCUGCACUCAGUUCAUGACUGAGGACUUUCCUCACUAGGAAUUUCCUUAGUGAUGAAAUUAUAAAAAUCGCCUAUUCACCCCCCUCUAGUCGAUAUAACGCACUUUCAGAUCCCGCUAGUAAUUUCGCAGGAACUUGAUAGAUCAAAGUGGGGAAAUCGAGAGAGAAAUCAAGUGUAUCGACUAAGCAUGGGAGCCAUCUUAUCUAUUAAGCAAAUAAGAGUA